RNAcentral lists this long non-coding RNA (442 nucleotides) under Mus spicilegus (steppe mouse). RNAcentral's name for it is "lncRNA (ENSMSIG00000010627.1)". Lineage: Eukaryota; Metazoa; Chordata; Mammalia; Rodentia; Muridae. The record is from RNAcentral.
AUGCUAAACAAUGGAGCCAAGCUGACGUCGAAGACACAGGCAUGUUUGAGGGCGCUCCUGGCUGCCUCUGGAAUGAUUGAUCUUGUCCCCAGUCACCUGCCACACUUCCAGACACCGCUUGGCAUCACCGAGAAUGAGCUAAGAUGCUCAGAAGAAUGUCAUUUUGCUCUGGGCAAAGACAGUUAACAUUGAGAUGACGUUCCGACUUUCAAGAAAAAAAUGGAAGGACUUUGAAAUGGGCAGCUAGGUGACUGGAUGCCCUACCCAGGGAGCCUGUGUGCAGGGGGUAAGUGGGGACCCUGCCCAGGUUGCCUGUGUGCAGGGAUCUGCUCUUCUUGCCUUAACACUCCAAAAGAAAACUGACUUUAAAGCAGCUGAGUCUUGUCCUCCAAACAGUUAAAUACAUUGUUGUCUGGAGGUGUGCCCUUGACUGUUGCCCUGG